Molecule: ribosomal RNA, 253 nt
Filed under: uncultured bacterium
Lineage: Bacteria
Description: partial 16S ribosomal RNA
Rfam family: Bacterial small subunit ribosomal RNA
Source: RNAcentral
UACAGAGGGGGCAAGCGUUGUUCGGAUUUACUGGGCGUAAAGGGCGCGUAGGCGGCAAUUCAAGUCAUCUGUGAAAUCUCCGGGCUUAACUCGGAACGGUCAGAUGAUACUGCUUUGCUAGAGUGCAGAAGGGGCAAUCGGAAUUCUCGGUGUAGCGGUGAAAUGCGUAGAUAUCGAGAGGAACACCUGAGGUGAAGACGGGUUGCUGGGCUGACACUGACGCUGAGGCGCGAAAGCCAGGGGAGCAAACGGG